Molecule: ribosomal RNA, 493 nt
Filed under: uncultured bacterium
Lineage: Bacteria
Description: partial 16S ribosomal RNA
Rfam family: Bacterial small subunit ribosomal RNA
Source: RNAcentral
GACGAACGCUGGCGGCGUGCUUAACACAUGCAAGUCGAACGGUGAAGCGCCUUCCUUUUUGGUGGGUGUGGAUGAGUGGCGAACGGGUGAGUAACACGUGAGUAACCUGCCCCCUUCUUCUGGAUAACCGCAUGAAAGUGUGGCUAAUACGGGAUAUUCUGGGUCUGUCGCAUGAUGGGUCUGGGAAAGAUAUUGUUUCGGUGGGGGAUGGGCUCGCGGCCUAUCAGCUUGUUGGUGGGGUGAUGGCCUACCAAGGCGGUGACGGGUAGCCGGCCUGAGAGGGUGGACGGUCACACUGGGACUGAGACACGGCCCAGACUCCUACGGGAGGCAGCAGUGGGGAAUAUGGCACAAUGGGCGCAAGCCUGAUGCAGCGACGCCGCGUGAGGGAUGGAGGCCUUCGGGUUGUGAACCUCUUUCGCCAGUGAAGCAGGCCUGCCUCGUUUGUGGGUGGGUUGACGGUAGCUGGAUAAGAAGCGCCGGCUAACUACGU